RNAcentral lists this unclassified non-coding RNA (149 nucleotides) under uncultured Helotiales. RNAcentral's name for it is "sequence contains ITS2". The record is from RNAcentral. Lineage: Eukaryota; Fungi; Ascomycota; Leotiomycetes; Helotiales.
CAACCCUCAAGCUUAGCUUGGUCUUGGGCACUGCCGGUGACGGCUUGCCUUAAAAUCAGUGGCGGUGCCAUUCGAGCUCUACGCGUAGUAAUUAACCCUCGCGAUUGAGUCUUGGUGGAUGCUUGCCAGCAACCCUCAAUUUUUUAUGG